GCGCGCAUAGCUCAGCUGGUUAGAGCACGGGUCUUAUAAACCCGGGGUCGAUGGUUCAAAUCCAUCUGCGCGCACCA
RNAcentral lists this transfer RNA (77 nucleotides) under Candidatus Kuenenbacteria bacterium RBG_16_41_7. RNAcentral's name for it is "tRNA-Ile". It matches the Rfam family "tRNA". From Rfam's summary of the family: Transfer RNA (tRNA) molecules are approximately 80 nucleotides in length. Their secondary structure includes four short double-helical elements and three loops (D, anti-codon, and T loops). Lineage: Bacteria; Candidatus Kueneniibacteriota. RNAcentral also lists the same sequence under 4 other names. The record is from RNAcentral.